AUUGAACGCUGGCGGCACGCCUAACACAUGCAAGUCGAGCGGUAACAUGAUUAGUAGCAAUACUAAUUGAUGACGAGCGGCGGACGGGUGAGGAACACGUAGGAACCUGCCAAAGAGAGGGGGAUAACUAAUGGAAACGUUAGCUAAUACCGCAUAAUCUCGAGAGAGCAAAGCUGCCGCAAGGUGGCGCUAUUAGAGGGGCCUGCGUCCGAGUAGUUAGUUGGUGAGGUAAAGGCUCACCAAGACGAUGAUCGGUAACUGGUCUGAGAGGACGACCAGUCACACUGGGACUGAGACACGGCCCAGACUCCGACGGGAGGCAGCAGUGGGGAAUCUUGGACAAUGGGGGCAACCCUGAUCCAGCGAUGCCGCGUGAGUGAAGAAGGCCCUCGGGUCGUAAAGCUCUUUAGGCUGGGAAGAAGGUUGGUAGAGGAAAUGCUAUCAAUUUGACGGUACCAGCAGAAUAAGCACCGGCAAACUCUGUGCCAGCCGCCGCCGUAA
Molecule: ribosomal RNA, 501 nt
Filed under: uncultured bacterium
Lineage: Bacteria
Description: partial 16S ribosomal RNA
Rfam family: Bacterial small subunit ribosomal RNA
Source: RNAcentral